Molecule: ribosomal RNA, 106 nt
Filed under: Cebus imitator (Panamanian white-faced capuchin)
Lineage: Eukaryota; Metazoa; Chordata; Mammalia; Primates; Cebidae
Source: RNAcentral
ACAAAUCCCCUGAAUGUGCCUGAUCUCGUCUGAUCUCGGAAGCUAAGCAGGGUCAGGCCUGGUUAGUACUUGGAUGGGAGAAAUGAAAACGAAUCUAAAAUUUGUC